Glycine soja is the source of this 763-nucleotide long non-coding RNA. RefSeq lists it as uncharacterized. NCBI's taxonomy places the organism in Eukaryota, Viridiplantae, Streptophyta, Magnoliopsida, Fabales, Fabaceae. The transcript is spliced from 2 exons. The record is from RefSeq and is a predicted model, not a curated record.
CAUUAAAAAGAAGAUAUACAUUAGUCAAUUGUAUAAAGUAAUUUUAUAUUGUGAAUUUCAAUCAUAUACUAUAAUUUUGUUGAUUUUAAUGAAAAUUAUAUUAAAAGUUAUGUGAAUGGUGGUGAGUAAUUUGUGAUUAAGUGUAAAAAUCUGGCAACUCAGAAUUAAAAUAAGAGUUUACUCAUAAAAAUAUGGUCUUGUUUGGGGUCACAUAAGAGUUUACUCAUAAUUUGUGAUUAAGCUUCCAUUGCAGAUUUCGUUUCAUUUGUGAAAAGACGAACCUGAAAGAGAGAGAAUCAGAGCAAGAAGAAGAAGAUGAUCUAUCGGAAGUGGAGUCUCCUUACCGGCCCGGUCACCAUCCUCGGCGGCGUAGUCGUCGCCAUCGCCGCCGCCAACGUUAUCUUCGUCAAGAAUGAUCCAUUCCUCCAACCAGAGGAGAGGAACUAUGAAAAUCAGCCUGCUACCAAGUAGGAGAAAAGAGACAACAGAAGUUUGCGUUUUGAUGUCAUUUAAACCCUGAUUUAUGAGCUCUGUAUACUGUUUUGCAAGAUACGCUCUCGCUAGUUAAUAAGAUUGAGUUUCUGAAUGAAGUCUGGACUCUGGAGCAUGGGCCCUCAGUUUAGAACUAACCUUCCAAUGUUCUAGAAAACUGGUUCAUACUUCAGAGAUCCUUACUUGUCUCUUUUGUACAAUGUCAACUGCAAAUGCUUAAUGUGGUUUCUAAUCUUCCAUUUCUUUCGUUUAUCCCUAUAUAUUUACUGUU